RNAcentral lists this transfer RNA (76 nucleotides) under Minwuia thermotolerans. Its description in RNAcentral is "tRNA-Lys". It matches the Rfam family "tRNA". From Rfam's summary of the family: Transfer RNA (tRNA) molecules are approximately 80 nucleotides in length. Their secondary structure includes four short double-helical elements and three loops (D, anti-codon, and T loops). The record is from RNAcentral. RNAcentral also lists the same sequence under 1 other name. Lineage: Bacteria; Pseudomonadati; Pseudomonadota; Alphaproteobacteria; Minwuiales; Minwuiaceae.
GGGCCCUUAGCUCAGCCGGUAGAGCAACUGACUUUUAAUCAGUAGGUCGUUGGUUCGAACCCAACAGGGCUCACCA